AUGCUCGCUUUGGCAGCAUAUAUACUAAAACUGGAACAAUACAGAGAAGACUAGCGUGGUUCCUGCAUAAGGAUGAUAUGCAAAUUCAUGAAGUAUUUAAUAUUUUU
Molecule: small nuclear RNA, 107 nt
Organism: Myodes glareolus (Bank vole)
Lineage: Eukaryota; Metazoa; Chordata; Mammalia; Rodentia; Cricetidae
Source: RefSeq, a predicted model, not a curated record